This 497-nucleotide ribosomal RNA is filed under the name uncultured bacterium. RNAcentral describes it as "partial 16S ribosomal RNA". It matches the Rfam family "Bacterial small subunit ribosomal RNA", at positions 28 to 507 of the family's 1533-position model. The record is from RNAcentral.
GAUGAACGCUGGCGGCGUGCCUAAUACAUGCAAGUCGAGCGAACGGACGAGAAGCUUGCUUCUCUGAUGUUAGCGGCGGACGGGUGAGUAACACGUGGAUAACCUACCUAUAAGACUGGGAUAACUUCGGGAAACCGGAGCUAAUACCGGAUGAUAUUUUGAACCGCAUGGUUCAAAAGUGAAAGACGGUCUUGCUGUCACUUAUAGAUGGAUCCGCGCUGCAUUAGCUAGUUGGUAAGGUAACGGCUUACCAAGGCAACGAUGCAUAGCCGACCUGAGAGGGUGAUCGGCCACACUGGAACUGAGACACGGUACAGACUCCUACGGGAGGCAGCAGUAGGGAAUCUUCCGCAAUGGGCGAAAGCCUGAAGGAGCAACGCCGCGUGAGUGAUGAAGGUCUUCGGAUCGUAAAACUCUGUUAUUAGGGAAGAACAUAUGUGUAAGUAACUGUGCACAUCUUGACGGUACCUAAUCAGAAAGCCACGGCUAACUACGUG